This 460-nucleotide ribosomal RNA is filed under the name uncultured bacterium. RNAcentral's name for it is "partial 16S ribosomal RNA". It matches the Rfam family "Bacterial small subunit ribosomal RNA", at positions 338 to 795 of the family's 1533-position model. The record is from RNAcentral.
CCUACGGGGGGCAGCAGUGAGGAAUAUUGGUCAAUGGGCGAGAGCCUGAACCAGCCAAGUCGCGUGAAGGAUGACGGCCCUACGGGUUGUAAACUUCUUUUGUCAGGGAGCAAUUGGGUCCACGCGUUGGCUUAGCGAGAGUACCUGAAGAAAAAGCAUCGGCUAACUUCGUGCCAGCAGCCGCGGUAAUACGGGGGUUGCGAGGGUUAUCCGGAUUUGUUGGGUUAAAGGGGUGCGUAGUCGGAAUAUCAAGGCAGCGGUAAAAAUUCGGGGUUCAACCCCGUCGUGCCGUUGAAACUGAUGUUCUUGAGUAGGCGAGAGGUAUGCGGAAUGCGUGGUGUAGCGGUGAAAUGCAUAGAUAUCACGAAGAACUCCGGUUGCGAAGGCAGCAUACCGGAGCCCAACUGACGCUGAAGCACGAAAGCGUGGGUAUCGAACAGGAUUAGAUACCCCUGUAGUC